RNAcentral lists this ribosomal RNA (481 nucleotides) under Pseudoalteromonas sp. Its description in RNAcentral is "bacterial SSU rRNA". It matches the Rfam family "Bacterial small subunit ribosomal RNA", at positions 442 to 924 of the family's 1533-position model. Lineage: Bacteria; Pseudomonadati; Pseudomonadota; Gammaproteobacteria; Alteromonadales; Pseudoalteromonadaceae. The record is from RNAcentral.
AGGGUGGUGGUUAAUACCCGUUAUGUGUGACGUUACUGACAGAAGAAGCACCGGCUAACUCCGUGCCAGCAGCCGCGGUAAUACGGAGGGUGCGAGCGUUAAUCGGAAUUACUGGGCGUAAAGCGUACGCAGGCGGUUUGUUAAGCGAGAUGUGAAAGCCCCGGGCUCAACCUGGGAACUGCAUUUCGAACUGGCAAACUAGAGUGUGAUAGAGGGUGGUAGAAUUUCAGGUGUAGCGGUGAAAUGCGUAGAGAUCUGAAGGAAUACCGAUGGCGAAGGCAGCCACCUGGGUCAACACUGACGCUCAUGUACGAAAGCGUGGGGAGCAAACGGGAUUAGAUACCCCGGUAGUCCACGCCGUAAACGAUGUCUACUAGAAGCUCGGAGCCUCGGUUCUGUUUUUCAAAGCUAACGCAUUAAGUAGACCGCCUGGGGAGUACGGCCGCAAGGUUAAAACUCAAAUGAAUUGACGGGGGCCGGG